UUCAUUGCCUUAUUGGGAGGUGCACAAGCUAUUGUUUUAUGUAACAUAGACUCAGGUAAACUAAACUUGUGUCGUGCUGCAGUUACUGGUAAAAACCCUCCACCACCAGAUGAACAAUGUUGUGGAGUUAUUCGCCAAGCCAAUUUACCUUGCCUUUGCAGUUACAAGUCUAUGCUACCUUUAUUUGGUAUAAACGCCAAAAAAGCCUUGGCCUUGCCGGGUAAAUGUGGUUUGCAAUCACCUUCUAAUUGCUGAGGUAAAACAUCUUUUGCCAGAAUAUGCCUUGAACACAAAUUAAUUACUUUCGGGGUGAUCAUAAUGGGUUUAAAUAUGAUGUUAUUCCAUUUGAAAUUUUGUCAGAUAUCAUUUUUUCCCAAUUUGAUCAAUACAUGACAAAUAAGGGAUAUAUGAACAUCGUUGUUUGUUUUGGUUAUACUUGACAAGAUAAUUUUUCGUUUUGAAGGCCA
Molecule: long non-coding RNA, 467 nt
Filed under: Phaseolus vulgaris (common bean)
Lineage: Eukaryota; Viridiplantae; Streptophyta; Magnoliopsida; Fabales; Fabaceae
Description: long non-coding RNA (PVUL_LNC001513)
Source: RNAcentral